Molecule: long non-coding RNA, 878 nt
Organism: Actinia tenebrosa (Australian red waratah sea anemone)
Lineage: Eukaryota; Metazoa; Cnidaria; Anthozoa; Actiniaria; Actiniidae
Source: RefSeq, a predicted model, not a curated record
AAGGGAAGUCCAUAUUGUUAUGAAGGUCACAGGGUCAUCAGGUUGAUAUUCUGGUCAACAUCCAUACAGCAACAGUGUGAGUCCAUAUUGUUAUGAAGGUCACAGGGUCAUCAGGUUGAUAUUCUGGUCAACAUCCAUACAGCAACAGUGUGAGUCCAUAUUGUUGUGAAGGUCACAGGGUCAUCAGGUUGAUAUUCAGGUCAACACCCAUACAGCAACAAGGGAAGUCCAUAUUGUUAUGAAGGUCACAGGGUCAUCAACAGGUUAAUUUACAGUUCUAUGCUCAUAGACAACAUUGUAUCAAGUGUUUUUGCUUCUUGUUUUAGUGCAUUAUACCCAUCAUUACCAGAGUAAUACUGAAGUAUUCCAUUAUAUAUUAGUUAGAGUCAAGAUGCAGUAUGGUAGUUAGGCUCAGAUGUCAGGUUUCCAUCUCGUUACAGAUCACUGGACAGCCUUAUGGAGUAUUUCACGUAUUGACACACGUCGAACCACGAAGGGAGCAAGUUUGAAAUGAGCACAAGUCACAACAAGGGCCUGGAACUAGCAUUUUACACAGGGAUCCCACAAAAGUCUUGAUUUUUUGGUGAAAAUGCGACGGUUUUCGAGCAAUAUUUUUUGCCCAAAACGUGAAACAUGACCAGAAAAGGUCAUAUUUGCACACUACGGAGGAUAAAAACCCGAAAAAACGCUUAUUUUAGGCAGAAAACACCAUUAUGUUAAUUAGUCACGUGACCGGUCACGUGACCCUUAAUGUUGUGUUUUUUUAAGGCGCGAUUUUUAAAUUUUCAUAACGAAAAAAAAAUCGUGGGUUUGAAAUAAUCCUUUCAUUUGAAUUCAUUAGAUCACGCAGUUGAUAAUAAAAGAACAUCGAACCUUUA